This is a non-coding RNA of Pelobates cultripes (western spadefoot toad), 403 nucleotides long. The record is from the annotation of a GenBank genome assembly. Lineage: Eukaryota; Metazoa; Chordata; Amphibia; Anura; Pelobatidae.
GUGGUGACUGUCACUAGUCACCACCUCCCUCACUUUGUCCCUAGUCACUCCUCCCUCUGUCACUAGUCACCCCCACCCUCUCUGUGUCACUAGAGUGAAGGGGUGACAGGUGACAGAGUGAGGGAAGGGGUGACUAGUGGCAGAGUGAGGGAAGGAAGGGGUGACUAGUGACAGUGAGGAAGGGGGUGACACGGUGACAGAGUGAGGGAGGGGGUGACACAGUGACAGAGUGAAGGAGGGGGUGACUGUCACUAGUCACCCCAUCCCUCCCUCUGUCACUAAUCAUCACCUCCCUCACUCUGUCACUAGUCACCCCUUCCCUCCCUCACUCUGUCACUAGUCACCCCCUCCCUCUCUAUGACACUAAUCACCCCCUCCCUCACUCAGUCACUAGAGUGAGGGG